UACAGAGGGUGCGAGCGUUAAUCGGAAUGACUGGGCGUAAAGGGCGCGUAGGCGGUUUAUUAAGUUGAGUGUGAAAGGCCUGGGCUUAACCUGGGAAUUGCGCUCAAAACUGAUGAGCUUGAGUGAGAAAGAGGUAAGUGGAAUUUCCGGAGUAGCGGUGAAAUGCGUAGAUACCGGAAGGAAAACCAGUGGCGAAGGCGACUUACUGGUUCUCAACUGACGCUGAGGCGCGAAAGCGUGGGGAGCAAACAGG
RNAcentral lists this ribosomal RNA (253 nucleotides) under uncultured bacterium. Its description in RNAcentral is "partial 16S ribosomal RNA". It matches the Rfam family "Bacterial small subunit ribosomal RNA", at positions 524 to 776 of the family's 1533-position model. The record is from RNAcentral.